Molecule: unclassified non-coding RNA, 216 nt
Filed under: uncultured Mycena
Lineage: Eukaryota; Fungi; Basidiomycota; Agaricomycetes; Agaricales; Tricholomataceae
Description: sequence contains ITS2
Source: RNAcentral
AAUUCUCAACCUUGGAACCAGUUUUGCGACUGGGUCAAGGCUUGGAUGUGAGGGCUUUGCUGGCUUCCUUUAGUGGAUGGUCUGCUCCCUUUAAAUGCAUUAGUGGGAUCCUUUGUGGACGGUCACUUGGUGUGAUAAUUAUCUACGCCUUGUUGACUGUGAAGCAAAACUUAUGGGACCCUGCUUAUAACCGUCCUUCGGGACAAUUUAUUGACC